This 2330-nucleotide long non-coding RNA is filed under the name Homo sapiens (human). RNAcentral describes it as "non-protein coding lnc-MALT1-2:1". The record is from RNAcentral. Lineage: Eukaryota; Metazoa; Chordata; Mammalia; Primates; Hominidae.
CAUAAGCUUUUUUUUGUUUGUUUUUAAUUUUAUUAGAAGUGGGAUCUCAUUUUGUUGCCCAUGCUGGUCUCAAACACCUGUCUUCAAGUGAUCCUCCUGCCUCAGCAGCAUCAGUUUAAUAUCUAGAUAAAAUCUGAUGUAUGUAAUUUUACUUUUAAGGGUUUUUUUCCAAACAGACGUCCUGACAAUGUUGUUUCCUAUUCCUUGAACAUUCACCUGACGCUUAUAUACUGUCAUUACUUUUAUCUGUCAACUGAUGUCAGCUACUCAAUUUACACAUUACUUUUGUGCAUUUCAUCCUGUUUCUCAGUUUGACAUUGUCAUUCAAAUUCAGAGUUUGACACUGAAACCCUGGGCAUGGUGGCUCACACCUGUAAUCCCAGCACUUCGGGAGACUGCGGUAAGCAGAUCAUUUGAACCCAGGAGUUUGAGACUAGCCUUGGCAACAUGGUGAAACCCCAUCUCUACCAAAAAAAAAAAAAAAAAAAAAGCAAAAACAAAAAUUAACUGGGCAUAGUUGCACACACCUGUAGUCCCAGCUACUCAGGAGGCUGAAGUGGGACGAUCGCUUGAGCCCAGAAGGCAGAGGUUACGGUGAGUAGAGAUUGUGCCACUGCACUCCAGCCUGGACGACAGGGCAAGACGCUGUCUCAAAAAUAAAAUAUUAGUAAAGAAGAGUACAAUCAGAAUAUGAAAAUGUGUAAAUGUGCAUAUUCUCUUUUUUUCUAAUUUGGUAGCAUUAAAAAUACUUAAGCAUCAAAGUUUGGCUUUAUGAAGAAGGAGUCUGAGACACCUCAGGUUUCAGCCCUUACUAAUAGCGUGGCUCAAAGAGCGUUAACUUGCCUGUGCUUCUGUUUCCUUAUCUGUAAAAUGGGGAUGAUGCUGUAACAUCAAAGAGCUUAUAAUACUUUCCAGAGCUGGCAGUACUAAAUAAGACCAUUCCUCUAAAGUGCCAGCAUUUUGAAAAGCAUCAACCCAUCAACCUUGUGCUUUAAAUCUGGCAUUCUUAAAGCUAUACCUGUAGGCAGUAUAGAGUGUUUUUUUUUAUUUGUUUUUUUGUUGUUGUCUUUUGAGUCUCACUCUGUCUCCCAGGCUGUAGUGCAGUGGCACGUCUUGGUUCGCCGCAACCUCCGCCUCCCAGGUUCAAGCGAUUCUCGUGCCUCAGCCCCCCGCAUAGCUGGCAUUACAGGCACACACCACCACGCCCAGCUAAUUUUUGUAGUUUUAGUAGUAUCUACUAAAAUAAACAGGGUUUCACCAUGUUGGCCAGGCUGGUCUCAAACUCCUGACCUCAAGUGAUCUGCCUGCCUCGGCCUCCCAAAGUGCUGGGAUUACAGGCGUGAGUCACCAUGCCCGGCCGGCAGUGUAUAUCUUCUAAAGUUGCAAUUUUUGUUCACUCCAGAAUCACUUUUCAAAAAGCAUGCAGAUUUAAUGCCACCAGUUUGUGUUAUGUAUCUAUCCCGCAAAACAGCUCUAAAGGUGAUUUACUAAAAGAUUAACAGCAUUUAUCUCUGGUGGGAUAAUUUUUCUUUGCUUGUUUACCUGUGUCUUGCAGAUUUUACACAGUGAACAAUGACUGUAUAAUUUUAAAAUACAGAUAUGCACAAUUGUGUAAUGUAAAUAUGCUCAGCUUCAAUACAUUUAAGAACACAUUUUUAACUUUUCGUAAGGAGUCUUCAGUUUAAAAGUACAGUGUCAUUACAGAGUGCUUAUUCUGUUACAAAAUUAGUAAAGCUGAUUCUGCCUCUAAAUCUGAAGUAAUUCCCACUUUUUUUCAUGCUUGAGUUUAGUUGAUAAAUAGCAUUUUAGAUACUAAAAAUGAUUGGAUGAGUAUUUCUACAUUAAUAAGUUGCUAAUUAGGCACCAGGGUAGCAGAUAGAAUGCCUUUCUGUGUGCUAGGUUUAAACAUUUUACACACAGUCUUAUUUAAAACAGCCUUGCAGUUUAUAGAUGAACUGAUUGUUAGGCUAACCAGAGGUGUUACUAUACCCUCCAGGAUAACCCAGCUAGUAAGGGCAGAGCCAGGAUGAUUCAGACCCAGACCAGAGCCGGGUGUUUUGUCCACAGUACUGCUGCUGCUUAUACCGUAACGGGAAAAGUACACAACAGUGUCUUAAUAUUUCAUUCUUCCAUGAAAAACACUUUUAAAAUAUUGAAACAUUAUAGGAGCAGAAGUACAUCUCUAAAUAUACUUUUAGGUCACAUUGAAAACAUUUCCAAAGGAUUUGACCUGAAGUUAAUGUUGCUACAUUAUGCUCAAUACAGCAGGCUGUUCUGCUAGGGAAAUUGUUAAUAUUUUAAAAAUAUUUUCCUAAGCUUUAGCUUUACCA